UCCGCUGCGCACUGCUUCCUUCAUAGCAACUCGAAUGGCAACACUGUGGCAUAUUCUUCAAGAGUACCCGCCUCUGCGUCCUCUUGCCCCGUGCUAAGGCCUUCUGAACCCAACUUCGCCUCCGCAAAUUGAGUCGCCUUAGUUCCUCCAUCAAAUGCUCCUCCGAGGUAAGGUGCAUGUGCCCCGAAGCUCCCUUCGUCUUUGGCACCAUGCAAGAUGAGUCCACUCCGACAGAAUGAAUGGCCCAUGGAACAACAU
RNAcentral lists this long non-coding RNA (258 nucleotides) under Musa acuminata (dwarf banana). RNAcentral describes it as "long non-coding RNA (MACU_LNC007938)". The record is from RNAcentral. Lineage: Eukaryota; Viridiplantae; Streptophyta; Magnoliopsida; Zingiberales; Musaceae.